AUGAACAUAGUUGAGCAAGUGUCUCUGGGCUUAGAUGCAGUAUCCACUGGGUAUAUAUCCAACAGUGGUACAGCUGGAUCUGGAGCCGCUGCCCUCGGGGACAACUCCUCUUCUAGCACCAAAGACAUCAAGAAAAUACUAGAUAGCGUGGGCAUCGAGGCGGAUGAUGACCAGCCCAACAAGGUCAUCAGUGAGCUGAAUGGAGAGAACAUUGAGGAUGUCAUCGCUCAGGGUGUUGGCAAGCUGGCCAGUGUGCCUGCUGGUGGGGCUGUGGCUGUUUCUGCUGCCCCUGGCUCUGCAGCUCCUGCUGCUAGUUCUGCCCCUGCUGCAGCAGAGGAGAAGAAAGAUGAGAAGGAGGAGUCUGAAGAGUUGGACGAUGGCAUGGGAUUUGGCUUGUUUGAUUAAAUUCCUGCACCCCUGCAAAUAAAGCCUUUUUA
This is an RNA transcript of Mus pahari (shrew mouse), 437 nucleotides long. It is a transcript of the gene named 60S acidic ribosomal protein P2 pseudogene, with no coding region annotated. The record is from RefSeq and is a predicted model, not a curated record. The transcript is spliced from 2 exons. NCBI's taxonomy places the organism in Eukaryota, Metazoa, Chordata, Mammalia, Rodentia, Muridae.